This 422-nucleotide ribosomal RNA is filed under the name uncultured bacterium. RNAcentral's name for it is "bacterial SSU rRNA". It matches the Rfam family "Bacterial small subunit ribosomal RNA", at positions 355 to 774 of the family's 1533-position model. The record is from RNAcentral.
UGAGGAAUAUUGGGCAAUGCCCGCAAGGGUGACCCAGCAACGCCGCGUGGAGGAUGAAUGUCGUAAGAUUGUAAACUCCUGUUAGAGGGGAAGAAUAGUACCGGUUGGACCGGUAUAUGACUGUACCCUCAGAGAAAGCCCCGGCUAACUACGUGCCAGCAGCCGCGGUAAUACGUAGGGGGCAAGCGUUGUCCGGAUUUACUGGGUGUAAAGGGCGCGCAGGCGGGAUAAAAAGUCAGUGGUGAAAUCCUACAGCUUAACUGUAGAACUGCCUUUGAUACUUUUAUUCUUGAGUUCGGGAGAGAGAGACGGAAUUCCAGGUGUAGUGGUGAAAUACGUAGAUAUCUGGAAGAACACCAGUUGCGAAGGCGGUCUCUUGGUCCGACACUGACGCUGAGGCACGAAAGCGUGGGGAGCAAACA